RNAcentral lists this ribosomal RNA (363 nucleotides) under Triticum aestivum (bread wheat). RNAcentral's name for it is "partial small subunit ribosomal RNA". The record is from RNAcentral. Lineage: Eukaryota; Viridiplantae; Streptophyta; Magnoliopsida; Poales; Poaceae.
AUGGACCUGGACGGCUUCCCACUUGACCACGAGUUUCCGGAUGACUACGGGCAAGAGGAAGAAGACGAGUGCGACAUCGAAGUGGAGCCUUUGUUUGAGGACGAGCUCGCCAACCAAGCCGCCGGGCCAAAGCCGAAGCGUAAGAGCAAGCGCACGAAGGCAUACACGGCGGCCAAGGACAACCUUCUUUGCGAGUGUUGGAGGGACAUUGGACAAGACCCCAAGAUCGGCGCCGAACAAAAGCAUUCAACUUUUUGGAUUCGUGUCCACCAGGAGUUUCAUGAGCGCAAGAAGUUUCCUCCUUACCAAAUUGUGGCCGCGAGAGCCUUCUUUUUUUGUAUGCCGACUUGUGCGCUGGCAUGA